GGGGGAUGUGGAGAGCUGGCAGCAUGUCGGCCGAGCUGGGAGUCGGGUGCGCAUUGCGGGCGGUGAACGAGCGCGUGCAGCAGGCUGUGGCGCGGCGGCCGCGGGAUCUCCCAGCCAUCCAGCCCCGGCUAGUGGCGGUCAGCAAAACCAAACCUGCAGACAUGGUGAUCGAGGCCUAUGGAUAUGGGCAGCGCACUUUUGGCGAGAACUACGUAAGAGCCCUUUUCUGAAGCCCUUUGGAAGCAUCAUGAUUGCCAGGCUUCUGACUUGUUCUGUUUUGACCUUUUAGGUUCAGGAACUGCUAGAAAAAGCAUCAAAUCCCAAAAUUCUGUCUUUGUGUCCUGAGAUCAAAUGGCACUUCAUUGGCCACCUACAGAAACAAAAUGUCAACAAAUUGAUGGGAAAGUCUGAGUUCUUAAUAAAAAGAGAAAACAUCAUGCCAAGAACAGAAUGAAUUCACCAUUUUCUGGGUUAUAUAUACUUGGAAACCUACCCAACCUCAUGUUUAUUAUUAUUUGGUGGUCUUUCAGAAAAAUUAUAAAGAAUUGUAGCCCAUAAAUUUUUUUAACUAGCAAAAGAGACAUUUCUGUUCUUUUUCCUUUAAAUAAAAGCUACAGUAAAUAAAAUACAAUACA
This 635-nucleotide small RNA is filed under the name Pan troglodytes (chimpanzee). Its description in RNAcentral is "retained intron". The record is from RNAcentral. Lineage: Eukaryota; Metazoa; Chordata; Mammalia; Primates; Hominidae.